CCCCACCCAUGCUGCUGUGCCACUCCUGCCUGGGACUAGGGAAACUCAAAAGGGUGAGGGGUGCCUCCAUCCCUCGAGACAAUGAGCCAAGUCUCUGAGAGGGGUGAGCAAGGUGCUGGAGGCAGUGCCUGUGGAGGGGGUGGGCCCUGAAGAUUGAGAUCUUCUUGGCUGUGUUGAAACUGAGUCUCGUGCUGGGCCUGGAGGCACAGAGCCAUCUGCAGAUAAGCAAGCUGGGCUGGAAUGCAGUGGUGCAAUAUUGGCUCACCGCAACCCUAUGCCUCC
RNAcentral lists this long non-coding RNA (282 nucleotides) under Homo sapiens (human). RNAcentral describes it as "non-protein coding lnc-THNSL2-2:1". Lineage: Eukaryota; Metazoa; Chordata; Mammalia; Primates; Hominidae. The record is from RNAcentral.